Molecule: transfer RNA, 87 nt
Filed under: bacterium
Lineage: Bacteria
Also listed under: 1 other name
Description: tRNA-Ser
Rfam family: tRNA
About the family: Transfer RNA (tRNA) molecules are approximately 80 nucleotides in length.
Source: RNAcentral
GGAGAAAUGCCGGAGUGGUCGAUCGGGGCGGUCUCGAAAACCGUUGUACCCUUACGGGUACCGGGGGUUCGAAUCCCUCUUUCUCCG